CUACGGGAUGCUCCAGUAAGGAAUAUUGGGCAAUGGACGGAAGUCUGACCCAGCCAUCCCGCGUGCAGGAAGAAUGCCCUAUGGGUUGUAAACUGCUUUUGUUUGGGAAGAAAUGUACUUUUUCAAGAGUAUUUGACGGUACCAGACGAAUAAGCACCGGCUAACUCCGUGCCAGCAGCCGCGGUAAUACGGAGGGUGCAAGCGUUAUCCGGAAUCACUGGGUUUAAAGGGUGCGUAGGCGGCCAGAUAAGUCAGAGGUGAAAGUUUCCGGCUCAACCGGGAGAUUGCCUUUGAUACUGUUUGGCUUGAAUCAGAUUGAGGUUGGCGGAAUGUGACAUGUAGCGGUGAAAUGCAUAGAUAUGUCAUAGAACAUCGAUUGCGAAGGCAGCUGGCUGGAUCUGUAUUGACGCUGAGGCACGAAAGCGUGGGGAGCAAACAGGAUUAGAUACCCUAGUAGUC
RNAcentral lists this ribosomal RNA (459 nucleotides) under uncultured bacterium. RNAcentral describes it as "partial 16S ribosomal RNA". It matches the Rfam family "Bacterial small subunit ribosomal RNA", at positions 339 to 795 of the family's 1533-position model. The record is from RNAcentral.